CAGGAAAUGGUCAAAUACUGGCCCACGAUACAUGAGAAAUGCGUGCCCUGUCUUUCCAGAGAAAUCGAGCUCCCAAAAACGUUUGCGGUAAAUCCCUGCUUUUUGGCUCCUCAAUAAUGGGAUAUUAUACUGUACCUUAUUGAGUACAUUGGAGUUUUUUUCCCUUCCCUUAAAUGCUAUUUGCUGAAACUGCUCAAAAAGACUUUCCGAGGUGGCCCCGUUGGUGUCUUUGUUCCAGCCCGCCCGCCCCGAAAGGCAGGAGUCUCUCUGCCUUCAAGGAGCUGGAAACGCAGUCACAGCUCUCUCACUACAGAGGCCGGGCUUGUGGCAAACCAGGAGUCGUAUUUGUGUUUACUUUCCUGCCUUGCGCAGUUGAGCUGCACUUGAGUGACUCCCAUUAACAAGCAUGAAGUUACUUAAUGGCCUUGCCUGUCUGCUGUUUUCUGUUACGCUGCCAUCCUGUGAACGGCCUUCUGUAUUUUUGUUCAGAUUGAACCCAAGAGGACUCGUGACUCAUGGCUCAACUGGUCCUAUGGCUCCACCCAACAGCAAGUUCUGCACACCCCUAUGAUUGCUUCCCCAACGAAUCAGCAGCAGUUAUUCCCUAGCCCCCUGC
Molecule: long non-coding RNA, 616 nt
Filed under: Homo sapiens (human)
Lineage: Eukaryota; Metazoa; Chordata; Mammalia; Primates; Hominidae
Description: HSALNT0269064
Source: RNAcentral